Molecule: long non-coding RNA, 1382 nt
Organism: Piliocolobus tephrosceles (Ugandan red Colobus)
Lineage: Eukaryota; Metazoa; Chordata; Mammalia; Primates; Cercopithecidae
Exons: 5
Source: RefSeq, a predicted model, not a curated record
UCCCUAAUGGAGUAAGUCUCUAUAUCUCUGAUCGUUGAAUUUCAUGUCUGUAUCAGUGUCCUGCUCUUCAUCCCCCCAGGUGCUGCCCAUCCGCUCUGCCAAGCUGGGGAUUUCUAUCUUUCUCAUUUUAGCAGGACCUUGGAGAAAUCUAUCAAAAGCAAAUUAAUAAGUUAUGUUUCCUCAGAUAUAAAACUGAAAUUCUGAUAUACAACUCACAGAGAUUUGGGAUGGAAUGAGCCAAUAUAUAUAAAAUGUCCAGGUAGAUGUCUAGAAGCCGGGCAUGAUGGAAGAUACUAAGAUAUGGCCCCUGUCCUCAAAGACCUUGCAUUGUUGUAAGAAAGAGAACAUUAAAACACCAGAAAAUAAUGAAGAGCAAGAAAAGCCAGGAAUAGCCCAUAAUCAACUUCUACGUGACAGAGGUUAGACCCUAAGUGAAACAGGAAUUCAGAAAAAAAUGGUGAUCGCUGUCGGAGAGUGGUUACGUGUGUGAGGCUUCAUGGUGGUUGAGGGGAUGAGACAAGGAAUGUCAAUGAAGGGGAAAGAAAGAAGCUGAACUGCAAGACCAGGAGCACUAAAGGUGCUCAGGACAAAACCCAGGAGUCACCAUUAAUGCCUGUCUUCUGCAUUGAUCAUCCAGUCUGCCCAUGAAUCCUGUCUGCUCUACCUUCAAUGUAUUUCCACAAUUUGAACACACCUCCUGUCAACCCACCACCACUACUAGGGUCAAAGCCAUCCUGAUUCCUAACCAGUCUGCUGCUUUCCACCCUUGCCUCCUCACAUCUGCAUUCAACACAGGAGUAACGGUGAGGCUUUUCAAAUACAAGUGAGAUUCUGAUACUCUGCUCAAAACCCUCAAUGGCAGAUCUUGUAAACGUCAAGUCCUUAAAACAGCUGAAGUCCCUCUAUGACCUGGCUUCUCCUGCCUUUAUGCCCUCACAUGCCAGUCCUCCCUCCUUGCUCCUUUGGCACCAGCCACACAGACCUUUCAUUCCUCAAACACAUCAGCAGGGUCCCUCUUUAGUGCCUCUGCACCUGCUGCUUCCUUUGUCUUUCCUUGGCACCCUCAGGACCCACUCCUUCUCCUCCAGUGCCAGCCUUUCCUUUCCCAUUCUACAGCUGCUCUCUGCCUCCCCAUCCUGCUUUAAUUUUCUCCCUAGCGUUCAUCUCUCCUUUAUUUGUGCACAUUUUAUUUUUUUUAAGUCUGCCUCCCCACAUUAAAAGUUAAGAAGGCAGAAAUUGGCAUAUAAUAGGGCUUAAAAAUAUUGGUUGAGUAGAAAAAUGAAUUAACAAAACUUAAACACUACAUGUUCUCACUCAUGAGUGGGAGUUGAACAAUGAGAACACAUGGACACAGAGAGGAGAACAUCACACACCAGGGCCUU